GCGCCCGUAGCUCAGCGGAAUAAGAGCAUCUGUCUUCGGAACAGAGGGUCGGAGGUUCGAAUCCUCCCGGGCGCA
This 75-nucleotide transfer RNA is filed under the name Candidatus Chisholmbacteria bacterium RIFCSPLOWO2_01_FULL_49_14. RNAcentral's name for it is "tRNA-Arg". It matches the Rfam family "tRNA". Rfam says of the family: Transfer RNA (tRNA) molecules are approximately 80 nucleotides in length. Their secondary structure includes four short double-helical elements and three loops (D, anti-codon, and T loops). Lineage: Bacteria; Candidatus Chisholmiibacteriota. The record is from RNAcentral.